This is a non-coding RNA of Pseudomonadales bacterium, 124 nucleotides long. NCBI's taxonomy places the organism in Bacteria, Pseudomonadati, Pseudomonadota, Gammaproteobacteria, Pseudomonadales. The record is from Rfam.
GGUUGAACACCCAUUCAGAGUGAUCAAGCGCCAGUUCGGUUAUGUGAAACCACCCUGGGCUGCAUACGUAAAGAGCGUGUGUGGUGAGCGCCACGGGAAAAGGCUGACCAAGAGUCAGUCAGGU